AUUGAACGCUGGCGGCAGGCCUAACACAUGAAAGUCGAGCGGAGCGGCGGAAGGGUGAGUAAUGCCUAGGAAUCUGCCUGGUAGUGGGGGAUAAAGUCCGGAAACGGGCGCUAAUAACGCAUAAUAUCAGAUGAGCCUAGGUCGGAUUAGCUAGUUGGUGGGGUAAAGGCCUACCAAGGCUACGAUCCGUAACUGGUCUGAGAGGAUGAUCAGUCACACUGGAACUGAGAAACGGUCCAGCCUCCUACGGGAGACAGCAGUGGGGAAUAUUGGCCAAUGGGCGAAAGCCAGAUCCAGCCAUGCCGCGUGUGUGAAGAAGAUAUUCGGAUUGUAAAGCACUUUAAGUUGUGAGGCGUUAACAACAGAAUAAGCACCGGCUAACUUCGUGCCAGCAGCCGCGGUAAUUC
This 407-nucleotide ribosomal RNA is filed under the name uncultured bacterium. Its description in RNAcentral is "partial 16S ribosomal RNA". It matches the Rfam family "Bacterial small subunit ribosomal RNA", at positions 30 to 526 of the family's 1533-position model. The record is from RNAcentral.